Rosa chinensis is the source of this 770-nucleotide long non-coding RNA. RefSeq lists it as uncharacterized. The record is from RefSeq and is a predicted model, not a curated record. NCBI's taxonomy places the organism in Eukaryota, Viridiplantae, Streptophyta, Magnoliopsida, Rosales, Rosaceae. The transcript is spliced from 2 exons.
AAGUCCAUAAUUGUUUAAUUAUACCAAGUGUGGUUGUCUUGCUGUCAAAGACCCACUUGAAGUCUCAAAGAUCAGUUUGCUGCUUUGCUGUCAGCUUCCCCAUCUUAGCAUGAUUGCUUAAUUGGUUCUCUUGUGGCUAUCUUGCUGUCAAAAACACAAUCCUCUUUUGUGUGGUUGUCUUGCUGUCGAAAGCCAAGGACCAUCUUUGAAGAAUAGUUCAAUAACUGCAAUUGCAACUUGCUACAUCAUCUCAGUUUGCUGCCUUGCUGUCUUGCUUCCCCAUCUCAUCUUGCUGUCUUGUCCAAGAUCAAGCUUCAAACUUGAAGAUCAAAAGAAGACCCCUCUUCAUCAUAGCUUAGGUACGCCAUAGCUGAUUCAUAUGGUCAUUUCUUGUUCAUGCAAGAUUACUGAUCCCUCCAACUCCUGGACACGCUGAAGUUCACACGGUGACAGGGGGCUAGGGUGGCUUAAUUUGAUCCCAUGAAUCAGAGAUUUUACGUACGAACAAACUCGAUCCGUUGAUCUUCUCUUUUAGUAUAGUACGACGUGGUUUAGCCAGGCUAACAAAGUCUUGAAGUUAACCAAUGGUUAAAGUCUCAGAGUAGAGUAAACGAGUAGUAGAGUUGACAAAAAAGAGUAGACACGUAGUAGAGGCACUAAUUGGAGCUGGGGUGCUUAUGUCCCUCUGUACUCGAUCUGCAGCACCUCUCUAAUUUGGUUUGUGGUCACCUUUGUUUUUGCAAUUCAAAGGACGAAGUUAAAGCUUUUCA